CAGAAUAGUGGCGAAAGGGUGAGUAAUGCAAGGGUAACAUGGGCGGGAGCUGGGGAUAACUCCGAGAAAUCGGAGCUAAUACCGAAUGUGGUCCUUUGAUGGAAUCAUUAGAGGACUAAAGAUGGGGACCCUUCGGGGCCUUUCGCUUAAGGAGUGGCUCUUGUCCUAUUAGCCUGUUGGUGGGGUAACGGCUCACCAAAGCAAUAAUGGGUAGCUGGUCUGAGAGGAUGAGGAGGCACACUGGGACUGAGACACUGCCCAGACUCCUACGGGAGGCUGCAGUCGAGAAUCUUUCGCAAUGGGGGAAACCCUGACGAAGCGACGCCGCGUGGAGGAUGAAGGCCCUCGGGUUGUAAACUCCUGUCACUUGGGAUGAAAAGUGGGGCCAUUAAUACCGGUUCUGCCUGACAGUACCUUGAAAGGAAGCUCCGGCUAACUACGUGCCAGCAGCCGCGGUAAUACGUAGGGAGCAAGCGUUGUUCGGAUUUACUGGGCGUAAAGGGUGUGUAGGUAGCUUGGUAAGUCAGUUGUGAAAUCCUUACUGCUCAACAGAAGAAUUGCAAUCGAUACUACCAGGCUAGAGUUCGGUAGAGGAGAGCGGAAUUCUCGGUGUAGCGGUGAAAUGCGUAGAUAUCGAGAAGAA
Molecule: ribosomal RNA, 643 nt
Filed under: uncultured organism
Description: bacterial SSU rRNA
Rfam family: Bacterial small subunit ribosomal RNA
Source: RNAcentral